Molecule: ribosomal RNA, 1463 nt
Filed under: uncultured Klebsiella sp.
Lineage: Bacteria; Pseudomonadati; Pseudomonadota; Gammaproteobacteria; Enterobacterales; Enterobacteriaceae
Description: bacterial SSU rRNA
Rfam family: Bacterial small subunit ribosomal RNA
Source: RNAcentral
AUUGAACGCUGGCGGCAGGCCUAACACAUGCAAGUCGAGCGGUAGCACAGAGAGCUUGCUCUCGGGUGACGAGCGGCGGACGGGUGAGUAAUGUCUGGGAAACUGCCUGAUGGAGGGGGAUAACUACUGGAAACGGUAGCUAAUACCGCAUAACGUCGCAAGACCAAAGUGGGGGACCUUCGGGCCUCAUGCCAUCAGAUGUGCCCAGAUGGGAUUAGCUAGUAGGUGGGGUAACGGCUCACCUAGGCGACGAUCCCUAGCUGGUCUGAGAGGAUGACCAGCCACACUGGAACUGAGACACGGUCCAGACUCCUACGGGAGGCAGCAGUGGGGAAUAUUGCACAAUGGGCGCAAGCCUGAUGCAGCCAUGCCGCGUGUGUGAAGAAGGCCUUCGGGUUGUAAAGCACUUUCAGCGGGGAGGAAGGCGGUGAGGUUAAUAACCUCAUCGAUUGACGUUACCCGCAGAAGAAGCACCGGCUAACUCCGUGCCAGCAGCCGCGGUAAUACGGAGGGUGCAAGCGUUAAUCGGAAUUACUGGGCGUAAAGCGCACGCAGGCGGUCUGUCAAGUCGGAUGUGAAAUCCCCGGGCUCAACCUGGGAACUGCAUUCGAAACUGGCAGGCUAGAGUCUUGUAGAGGGGGGUAGAAUUCCAGGUGUAGCGGUGAAAUGCGUAGAGAUCUGGAGGAAUACCGGUGGCGAAGGCGGCCCCCUGGACAAAGACUGACGCUCAGGUGCGAAAGCGUGGGGAGCAAACAGGAUUAGAUACCCUGGUAGUCCACGCCGUAAACGAUGUCGAUUUGGAGGUUGUGCCCUUGAGGCGUGGCUUCCGGAGCUAACGCGUUAAAUCGACCGCCUGGGGAGUACGGCCGCAAGGUUAAAACUCAAAUGAAUUGACGGGGGCCCGCAUAAGCGGUGGAGCAUGUGGUUUAAUUCGAUGCAACGCGAAGAACCUUACCUGGUCUUGACAUCCACAGAACUUUCCAGAGAUGGAUUGGUGCCUUCGGGAACUGUGAGACAGGUGCUGCAUGGCUGUCGUCAGCUCGUGUUGUGAAAUGUUGGGUUAAGUCCCGCAACGAGCGCAACCCUUAUCCUUUGUUGCCAGCGGUCCGGCCGGGAACUCAAAGGAGACUGCCAGUGAUAAACUGGAGGAAGGUGGGGAUGACGUCAAGUCAUCAUGGCCCUUACGACCAGGGCUACACACGUGCUACAAUGGCAUAUACAAAGAGAAGCGACCUCGCGAGAGCAAGCGGACCUCAUAAAGUAUGUCGUAGUCCGGAUUGGAGUCUGCAACUCGACUCCAUGAAGUCGGAAUCGCUAGUAAUCGUAGAUCAGAAUGCUACGGUGAAUACGUUCCCGGGCCUUGUACACACCGCCCGUCACACCAUGGGAGUGGGUUGCAAAAGAAGUAGGUAGCUUAACCUUCGGGAGGGCGCUUACCACUUUGUGAUUCAUGACUGGGGUGA